This 260-nucleotide ribosomal RNA is filed under the name uncultured prokaryote. RNAcentral's name for it is "partial 16S ribosomal RNA". It matches the Rfam family "Bacterial small subunit ribosomal RNA", at positions 524 to 784 of the family's 1533-position model. The record is from RNAcentral.
CACGUAGGGGCAAGCGUUGUCCGGAAUUACUGGGCGUAAAGGGCGUGUAGGCGGCCAUGUAUGUCAGGUGUGAAAGGCCUCGGCUUAACCGAGGCAUUGCACAUGAAACUGGCAGGCUUGAGGGCAGGAGAGGAGAGCGGAAUUCCUAGUGUAGCGGUGAAAUGCGUAGAUAUUAGGAGGAACACCAGUGGCGAAGGCGGCUCUCUGGACUGAACCUGACGCUGAGGUGCGAAAGCUAGGGUAGCGAACGGGAUUAGAUA